CCUGCACGAAGUCGGAAUUGCUAGUAAUCGCAGAUCAGCAUGCUGCGGUGAAUACGUUCCCGGGCCUUGUACACACCGCCCGUCACACCAUGAGAGUUGGGAAUACCCGAAGCCUGUGAGCUAACUUUAAGAGGCAGCAGUCGAAGGUAGAAUCAAUGAUUGGGGUGAAGUCGUAACAAGGUACC
RNAcentral lists this ribosomal RNA (185 nucleotides) under uncultured bacterium. RNAcentral describes it as "partial 16S ribosomal RNA". It matches the Rfam family "Bacterial small subunit ribosomal RNA", at positions 1315 to 1500 of the family's 1533-position model. The record is from RNAcentral.